This 262-nucleotide ribosomal RNA is filed under the name uncultured bacterium. RNAcentral's name for it is "partial 16S ribosomal RNA". It matches the Rfam family "Bacterial small subunit ribosomal RNA", at positions 92 to 354 of the family's 1533-position model. The record is from RNAcentral.
UUAGUGGCGGACGGGUGAGUAACGCGUGGGUAACCUGCCUUACACAGGGGGAUAACACUUAGAAAUAGGUGCUAAAACCGCAUAAGCGCACAGCUUCGCAUGAAGCGGUGUGAAAAACUCCGGUGGUGUAAGAUGGACCCGCGUCUGAUUAGCUUGUUGGCGGGGUAACGGCCCACCAAGGCGACGAUCAGUAGCCGGCCUGAGAGGUUGAACGGCCACAUUGGGACUGAGACACGGCCCAGACUCCUACGGGAGGCAGCAG